CACGUAGGAGGCGAGCGUUGUCCGGAAUCAUUGGGCGUAAAGAGCGCGCAGGCGGCUUGGCAAGUCGGGUGUGAAAUCCCGGGGCUCAACCCCGUGACUGCAUUCGAUACUGUCAGGCUAGAGGUAGGUAGGGGAGAUCGGAAUUCCUGGUGUAGCGGUGAAAUGCGCAGAUAUCAGGAGGAACACCGGUGGCGAAGGCGGGUCUCUGGGCCGAUACUGACGCUGAGGAGCGAAAGCGUGGGGAGCGAACAGG
RNAcentral lists this ribosomal RNA (253 nucleotides) under uncultured bacterium. Its description in RNAcentral is "partial 16S ribosomal RNA". It matches the Rfam family "Bacterial small subunit ribosomal RNA", at positions 524 to 776 of the family's 1533-position model. The record is from RNAcentral.